CUGCCCUGGCCCCCAAGAUCGGCCCCCUGGGUCUGUCUCCAAAAAAGGUUGGUGAUGACAUUGCCAAGGCAAUGGGUGACUGGAAGGGCCUGAGGAUUACAGUGAAACUAACCAUUCAGAACAGACAGAAAGAAACAGAAAAACAUUAAACACAGUGGGAAUAUCACUUUUGAUGAGAUCGUCAACAUUGCUCGACAGAUGCGGCACCAAUCCUUAGCCAGAGAACUCUCUGGAACCACUAAAGAGAUCCUGGGGACUGCCCAGUCUGUGGGCUGUAAUGUUGAUGGCCG
Molecule: long non-coding RNA, 290 nt
Filed under: Homo sapiens (human)
Lineage: Eukaryota; Metazoa; Chordata; Mammalia; Primates; Hominidae
Description: non-protein coding lnc-CRNKL1-4:1
Source: RNAcentral